AGUCGUAACAAGGUAUCCGUAGGUGAACCUGCGGAUGGAUCAUUAUAGGUUAUUUUGAAUGUUGUGUGAACAGUGUGGUUGCGGUUGUGGUGGGUGUGAUAUAUUAUAUGGUAUGUGGUAUAUAAUAUGAUAUAAUAUAUAAUAUAAUAUCAUCCACCUUGACAACAUUGACGUACAUUAGUGCUGAAUACAUUAUAUAUUGAAAUAUAAACAACUUUCAGCAAUGGAUCUCUUGGCUCUC
Molecule: unclassified non-coding RNA, 241 nt
Filed under: fungal sp.
Lineage: Eukaryota; Fungi
Description: partial internal transcribed spacer region
Rfam family: Eukaryotic small subunit ribosomal RNA (bases 1-45)
Source: RNAcentral